UGUAAAUCGUCAAGUGCCAAUGAGCAGUC
Molecule: non-coding RNA, 29 nt
Filed under: Mus musculus (house mouse)
Lineage: Eukaryota; Metazoa; Chordata; Mammalia; Rodentia; Muridae
Source: RNAcentral